AUGUUCUCUGUAGCUCUGAUACUGCUGCUGGCUGCUGGAUCCUGUGUGAAGUGUGAACAGUUGACCCAGCCAGCCUCUGUGACUGUGCAGCCAGGUCAACGUCUGACCAUCACCUGUCAGGUCUCUUAUUCUCUUAGUGACUACUACACAGCUUGGAUCAGACAGCCUGCAGGGAAAGGACUGGAGUGGAUUGGAAUGAAAUAUACUGGAGCUUCAUACUACAAAGAUUCACUGAAGAACAAGUUCAGUAUCGACUUAGAGACUUCCAGCAAGACAGUGACUCUAAAUGGAAUCAAUGUGCAGCCUGAAGACACUGCUGUGUAUUACUGUGCCAGAGAGCCACAGUAACACAAACCAUCAGUAGACCUGAACAAAAACCCCUCAGAGCCUGAACACUUGUAACAUGAAGCCACCAGAGGAGGAGCCCUCAGACCACUAAUGGUUUCAACACCAGCUCACUGUUACAGUAAAGAGAGA
Molecule: non-coding RNA, 477 nt
Organism: Sander lucioperca (pikeperch)
Lineage: Eukaryota; Metazoa; Chordata; Actinopteri; Perciformes; Percidae
Source: the annotation of a RefSeq genome assembly